AAACGAGGUUUGUUACUUUGG
Molecule: microRNA, 21 nt
Filed under: Solanum lycopersicum (tomato)
Lineage: Eukaryota; Viridiplantae; Streptophyta; Magnoliopsida; Solanales; Solanaceae
Description: sly-miR5302a
Source: miRBase by way of RNAcentral